Long non-coding RNA from Sphaeramia orbicularis (orbiculate cardinalfish), 902 nucleotides. RefSeq lists it as uncharacterized. NCBI's taxonomy places the organism in Eukaryota, Metazoa, Chordata, Actinopteri, Kurtiformes, Apogonidae. The record is from RefSeq and is a predicted model, not a curated record. The transcript is spliced from 2 exons.
CUGAGGUUGCCUUAAACAAAAGUUUGCUGGUUGCCAGAGUGUGCAGACAGACACAUUAUUCUCCUGCUCAGUGGUUAAUCAUUAUUGUAGGCCCUUUUGGCUGCUGUUCUUGGGAACUACAUACCAUUAAAGGCUUUUUUUCCUGUUUGCAUUUGCACUGCCAAUAGGAACAGAGUUGAGAUCAUGGCCUUGUGGGUUUCUUAGAUUUUUAUGUUGCUUUGAGUCAAAGUCACAUAAAAUUAUGAUUGAAAUCUCAACUAUAGUACCAUUCCAUUUGCCUGUGCUUCCUUAGAGUUUUUAAAAAGCUGAUACAAGGUAAUACAUAAAUUUGUUUCUUCAAGACUGUUUAAAGGUGCAGCCUUCAACAUACGCUCAUGUCAUGCUAGAUUCCUGUUGUGCUUCGAAAGACCCUUAAAUCAACACUGUAAAGAUGACAGUUGUCCUUUUCAUAGCCUGGCAUUAUCAAAAAAACAGUCUAGUAAGAUGUCCAGUUAAUUUUGGAAUUCCAACGGUUGUAAAUCAAAAUAGCUCUGGAUAUAACUGGGUAGAGCUACAACCUGUUAUAGAAAUCUGAAUGACAGAACAAACUUAUUGUUCUCAUCAGUGAGAGCUUUAAGUGUAGUAUGAUCUUUUACAGAUAAUAUAUGGUUAAUUUCUCUUAAUACUGACAAAAUACUGCCUUAAGAAGACUGUUUCACAUCAGUAUCUUGGUUGUUUGCAAAGGUUUGCUGAACAGCCCUCCUUGGUCCAUCAUGCUAUCAAACUUGCCCCAUAUCAGAUAAAUUGUUAAAGGAUUGGCCUGACACAGGGGUGAUCAGGUGCAAAUCUCUAUAGAAGGAAGGGAGUAAAAUAAAAAUGAUGUUACUGUUCCUGCAGUGCAGAAAAGACAGUUUCUCCAAUAG